RNAcentral lists this ribosomal RNA (497 nucleotides) under uncultured bacterium. Its description in RNAcentral is "partial 16S ribosomal RNA". It matches the Rfam family "Bacterial small subunit ribosomal RNA", at positions 28 to 507 of the family's 1533-position model. The record is from RNAcentral.
GAUGAACGCUGGCGGCGUGCCUAAUACAUGCAAGUCGAGCGAACAGACGAGGGGCUUGCUCCUUUGACGUUAGCGGCGGACGGGUGAGUAACACGUGGAUAACCUACCUAUAAGACUGGGAUAACUUCGGGAAACCGGAGCUAAUACCGGAUAACAUGUUGAACCGCAUGGUUCAACAGUGAAAGACGGUCUUGCUGUCACUUAUAGAUGGAUCCGCGCCGCAUUAGCUAGUUGGUAAGGUAACGGCUUACCAAGGCAACGAUGCGUAGCCGACCUGAGAGGGUGAUCGGCCACACUGGAACUGAGACACGGUCCAGACUCCUACGGGAGGCAGCAGUAGGGAAUCUUCCGCAAUGGGCGAAAGCCUGACGGAGCAACGCCGCGUGAGUGAAGAAGGUCUUCGGAUCGUAAAACUCUGUUAUUAGGGAAGAACAAAUGUGUAAGUAACUAUGCACGUCUUGACGGUACCUAAUCAGAAAGCCACGGCUAACUACGUG